UUGCUCUUUGCAAAUGCUGCAUAUGCAUGCUGAAGGCUGCAUGGCUCUGACAGCCAUUCUGUUUUUAUCAAAGGAUGCUUCUCAAGAUUGUUCAUUUCAUUUUCUGUUUCUUCUGGAUGGAGGUCUGACCUCUCCGGCAUCUAUUGUUGAUGGACAGGUGAGGUGGGCAAGCCACAUCUGAUCAUUUGGAAUUGUAUUUGAGGCCGAAGUUAAACGGAACUUUUUACAUCCUUCCUUAACGGGAAGAACUGAGCAGGAGGCAAAGAAGUUCACGUUGUAAACGGAGACUGUUUCUGCGAAUGGCUUUUCCCCAGAAGACCCUCUCUCUGAAUCUCGGUUGUUGAUAACUCGCAGGUUUUAUCUCCAGGAACUAAGAUAGUUUUUUUCCUCGCUUUUGGCCUGCCAACUUAUAAGACUUGUCUUCAGCUGAGGCAAGGCUGCCAGAUUGAAUCCAUGGAGAACCUACUCAACUCUAUUUAUUUUAGAGUAUGAUAAUUUGAGGGAAAAAUUUAAAUUGUCAGUUUUCCAUUACACCCUGGCUAUCUAACCAGACCUAAAAACUACUUCUGUGGGGAAUUGUGUAAACAGAUGGAGAAGCCAAGAAGAGAACGGGCUGAUGUCUUGCCAGGGGCCAGACAAUCUGCCUAGGACAGAGCCAAACACCCCAGAUCCUGAUUGAUCUGUCCCCGGGUCUUCCUUCUUUAGCUGCCCAUGGCUGUGCAUUUUAAUGAAGGACACUGGGCAAUCCCAAGUCACAGCCCCUCUGACUGCCUGUUGCCUGGGAGCAUGAUUCUUCAGGAUAGCUAUAAAGCCAUGAGGAAUGUCAACAGAAAGGAUGAAGGUGAGACAAAGGACUUUUGUUUCAAGGAUAGUUGCCCUCCAUAAGGAUACUACUUUCAUGCUUGAUUUAUAUAAAGAUUCUCCUUUGAUGAAUGACCCUGGAUGAGAAUCCUUCUACCGGUCAACAUCCAUGAUUCAGAGUAGGUUUGAAGACAGGGUCAAAAGGGCUGGGCACUGUGUGAAAUGAAAACAUCAGUGUGUGCAGGAAGAGUUUUGCAGUGUGCGUGCUCUACUGGAAGCCAAGCUGCAUACUACAAAGAAAAACACCAGGAAAGGAGGUAGAAGCAGUUUCAUAAAAAAGUCUUUGAACAGCAGGAAAGUGCAAUGUUUAUUGUGAAGAACUCCACAGCAUCCAUGGGGAUGCUGUGUUGUUUCUAAAAUCAACAUAAUCUCUAAUUUAUGAAUGAACAGUAAGGUAAAGGCAAGUGUGGAAACUGGACCAGAGAAAGCUUCAUAUGUGCAUUCAAAGGAAAGUGCAGCCCUGGGGAUGACUGCUCUGAAUUGAUAAUUGUGUUGCAUGUUCAUCUGUACAUGGAUUUCUUUCUCAUUCUCCAAAAGGGUGGGCUCGUUGGAGAGGAAGCCAAAUUCUCAGCCUUUGCUUGAGAUUUUAAAAGACAUAUACUUCACUUCAAAAAGAUUGUUUUUUUUUAUAAAAUGCUAGAGCUUCAAAUUUUAACAAUGUUCAUUUUUGUAUGAAAAAAAACCAGAUCCAGGGUAUGGGAAAAUAUUAAAAUUGUGCACAAAAUUAUCCUCACCAGUGUCAUUUAUAUAAUCAUUGUGUUUGUACUUAUGGCUAGUAGCACCAUUUAGUCACUAGAUUGAAGAAAGGGCUGAGGAGAUGACUCAGUGGUUGUGAGGAUUGUGGUUUUACAGAGGACCAGGCUCAGUUCCUAGUACCUGUAUGGUGCCUAACAGCUGCCUGUAGCUCUAAUUCCAGGGGCUCUGAUACCCCUUUCUGACCUCUGUGGAUAGCAGGCACACGCAAGAUAUACAAACACACCUGUAGACACACGAAUGUAUGUAUGUAGGCAACAUAUACACACAUAAAAUAAAACAAAUAAAUCUAAGAUAAUUUUAGAAGCACAGGUGACUGGCUACAGAUAGCUUUCUUUAGCACAGAUGAAAAGUGAGAAACAAAAUACUCUCAGAAGACAUGUAUUUAAGUGAGUAAGUUAGACUGUGACAGCCACAUAACACUCAUUAGAGCAUCAUUUAAUAAACAUCUGUGGAAUGGUUGUUUUUAUGGGGUAACAGGUGCCAGAACGACCUCUUACCAGCUAUAUUCUUGAUCAGUUCUGGAAGGGAAGGGAGCAGAGAGCAGCCCUGGGUAACUUUCCCCUCUCGCCUUCACCUUUUCCUUGUAUUCUGUCAGUCUGGACUUCGAGUUACUUGUUUACUUGAAUUCUUCACAGUGAACAUUGACACAAAGUGUAUUUUCCUGACUCCACCAGUGUCUUUCCUCAUUCAACACUGGGAGAAGUAGAUGUUAAUAUUCUUGAGUGACUCCAUCAGCCAUACCUCACAUUACAAUAAUGUUUGUAUGUUUUGUUCCCUCACCUUGGAUACCUGCCUUAGUUAGGAUUUUUAUUGCUGGGCUAAAAUGCUGUGACCACAAGCAACCUGAAGAGCAUAAGGGUUAUUUCUUCCUACACUUCCUACACUUCUAGAAAAUGGCCCAUCACUGAGGGAAAUCAGAACAGGAGCCUGGAGGUAAAAACCAAAGCAGAAACGAUGGAGAAACACUGCUUACAAAUCUGCUUCUCCUGAAUUGCUUAUUUUGUUUUUCUUAUAUGUCCUGGAACCACCUGCCUGUAGGUGGUACUGAGCACCAUGGUCUUGACCCUCCUACAUUAAUCAUUAAUUAAGAAAAUGCCCCCAUUGGCUUACCUAGAAGCUAAUCUUACAGAGGUGUUGUCUCAAUUGGGACUACCUUCUCUCAGAUGAUUCUAAAAUAAUACCCUGUUACCCACUAUAUAAUUAUAUCUUCAUAUCUUUUGAAAAUCAGCUCAGAAGCACAUCUAUCCUGCAGCUGUAUGUAUAUAAUACUAACACCCAUGGAUCACAGAUGUUUUCAUAGUGGUUCUGUUUUCAUGUUGUUCGCGUCUCAUUGUAAACACUGGGGGACAAGUUCUAGGCCUUGUUCAUUUGCACGCCAGCAUUUAGCUCUAUGUCCAUACAUUUGAUUACAAGAAGAGAAUAUUGCAGGGAGAGUAAAUGGACAGCCUGGAAAAUGCAACUGACACAACUUCUAUAGAGUCCUUCAACGCCGUUGACUUUGGGAAAUAUAUUUCUAUUCAAAAGGACCAGAUAUGGCUUGUUAGACAUUUCUAAAGUGAAUUUGGAAGAGUUUCCUUCAAAAUAAAAACAUUUACUCAAAUCCAGCACUACCUCAGUUGUCACUGAGAGGAAUUGUGAGCUGGCCUGGAAGAGCCAAGGUCUGAACCAUUGGCGUUAUUUGAUAAUUUUUUUAAAAAAAAAAAAACUCUAAAUCAAUGACGACAAAUAAAUACAUCAACUGUUUUCUUAUUUUUUACUUCAUUGAGUGUUCUAAGGAUGGAGUCAUUAAAGUAUAAAAGAUUGGUACUCCAAAGUAUAAUCUGCAGAGAAUUGAAACAAUUUACAGAAUAUCUCUCCUGUGCCAGGGAGAUGGAAGCAGGAGGUAGGGUGGGUGAGAGCAGCCCCAGCAGAGGACAGAGGACCCUCUUCACUUUCAGCACCUAGUAUAGGGCUUGAUACUUGGGAGAUGCUCAGUAUAGUUUGGUUGAAUAAUUGAAUGACUGAGUGAGUGAGCCAGCCAGGCAGACAGAAGGAGAGAGAUAUAGAGAUGCUAUAUUUGGGUGAGUUUCAAGAGAAGAUCACAGAAUGAAAAGUGGUUUUGUCUGAUCACAAAUAAAAGGCAGAGAAGUGUAUGAAGUAGUAGCAGAAGAACAGAACAAUCCGAGACUUUUGUUUAAAGCUUUGUGUGCAUGUCAUUUGCUGUAAAAUCACCAAUUUUAAGUGUGCAUUUUGAUGGAAUUGCAUUCAGUUUAAAACUUUUCAAUAAA
Alexandromys fortis (reed vole) is the source of this 3884-nucleotide long non-coding RNA. RefSeq lists it as uncharacterized. The record is from RefSeq and is a predicted model, not a curated record. Lineage: Eukaryota; Metazoa; Chordata; Mammalia; Rodentia; Cricetidae. The transcript is spliced from 4 exons.